GAUGAACGCUGGCGGCGUGCCUAAUACAUGCAAGUAGAACGCUGAAGGAAGGAGCUUGCUCUUUCCGGAUGAGUUGCGAACGGGUGAGUAACGCGUAGGUAACCUGCCUGGUAGCGGGGGAUAACUAUUGGAAACGAUAGCUAAUACCGCAUAACAGUAGAUGUUGCAUGAUAUCUACUUAAAAGGUGCAAUUGCACCACUACCAGAUGGACCUGCGUUGUAUUAGCUAGUUGGUGAGGUAACGGCUCACCAAGGCGACGAUACAUAGCCGACCUGAGAGGGUGAUCGGCCACACUGGGACUGAGACACGGCCCAGACUCCUACGGGAGGCAGCAGUAGGGAAUCUUCGGCAAUGGAAGGAAGUCUGACCGAGCAACGCCGCGUGAGUGAAGAAGGUUUUCGGAUCGUAAAGCUCUGUUGUAAGAGAAGAACGAGUGUGAGAGUGGAAAGUUCACACUGUGACGGUAUCUUACCAGAAAGGGACGGCUAACUACGUG
This 497-nucleotide ribosomal RNA is filed under the name uncultured bacterium. Its description in RNAcentral is "partial 16S ribosomal RNA". It matches the Rfam family "Bacterial small subunit ribosomal RNA", at positions 28 to 507 of the family's 1533-position model. The record is from RNAcentral.